This 1738-nucleotide long non-coding RNA is filed under the name Equus caballus (horse). RNAcentral's name for it is "lncRNA (ENSECAG00000057445.1)". The record is from RNAcentral. Lineage: Eukaryota; Metazoa; Chordata; Mammalia; Perissodactyla; Equidae.
GUAAGAGAUUAACAACAGUAACUAAUAACAAAAUACUGUCAUAAAAGUUAUAGUAGAUCUCAGCAACCUCAGCAUGUGAUUUUUUUUCUUUCCUUAUUAAGUCGAGAACUUUCACCUUUCACUUAAAGGAAGCACUUUAUGGCUUCUCUUUGGCAUAUCCGAAUUGCCAGCAUCACUACCCUUGCACUUUGGGGCCAUUAUUAAGUAAAAUAAUGGUUGCUUGAACACAAGCACUGCGAUACCAUGCCGGUGACGAUAUGAUAACCAAGACAGUUACUAAGUGACUAUCCAUACACAGCGUGGAUACUCUGAAUAGGGGGAUGGUUCACCUCCCAGGCGGGAUAGAGCCGAUGGCUUGAGAUUUCCUCACACUACACAGAAUAGCAUGCCAUUUAAAACUUAUGAAUUGUUUACUUCUGGAAUUUUCCAUUGAAUAUAUUCGGACUGCGGUUGACCGUGGGUACCUGACACCCGGAAAGUGAAACUGCGGAGAAGGGAGAAUUACUGUAAAUCACUAACAACUGAUGUUUGUAUUUCAAAGCACUUUCAUGUAUCAUCUCAUUUGGUCCCCAAGACUCCAUGAGACGGGUAUCAUCAUUAUCCCCAAAUUACAGAGGAGGAAACUGAGACUCAGAGAGUAGUUGGGAUAGAGACAGGUUAAAACAUCAUCUAUGAGAACGUGUAUCUGUGGACAUAUUCUCGAACAGAACCAUUUUCAAAUAUCUUGCCUUAUUGACAGAGUAUGCAUGCUGAUGUUUGUUUCAGAAAUUAUAAUUACCAUCCCUAUGGAAAAAUGCUUUCAUUCAAGAUAUAUUAAAGGUCAAAAGUAUCAUUAUGAAACAGUGAUCAUAAUUUCUGUUAUACUUUUAUCCUGGUUUUGGGUUGCAAAUAAAUAUAACUUGAUAAAUAGAGCCAAGUAAGCUUUUAAGAAAGUUUCAAAAAACUCAAUCCAAACACGUGGUGCACUGUGUGAGGGGCUCCCCUUUGUGGGAUGCCAUCUGUAGAUAGGUCCAGAAGUAGCGGGGGGUGAUACAGAAAUAUUAAAGAAAAAUACUGCUCAUUGCGUGCGGAAAAAUGCCUCUGGGAACAAAGAUGCUCAGCUCUCAAAUGCAGGGCUUGUAUCUGCGGAGAAGUGUUGGUUGAUCGCAUUCCGUCCUGGCAGAGCCACCGUCCAUCUGAAAGUUUGCGUGAAUAGAGCCAGGUACUUACCUCUCUCUAACCCACAAAGUUAAUCAAGGGAGGCUUAUUGGAGUUGGACAGGUGUGUCCAAGGAGGCAUAAAGUAUGAUAUAAAUGAGAGAAGAAGGGGCUCGGGAAACAAAGGAGAAGUUUCUGAGCCGUAAGUUCCUUUGUCUUGGAGAAAAAAGGCUGCCUGGGCUUCCCUGAGUAAGGCCUGGGCCUGGGAGGAGAGUCCUGAGGGAGAAAGGGAACCCUGUCUCCUGGGAAGGAGGGACUGCACAGGCUGGAGAGUAUUUUAAUGCACUUUUACCUUUGGGUGGACAAGUGGUGAAGUGCAAAAUGCAAAUGGUGCAACAAAGAAAUGCAAAUGGGAUGCCUGUUUGCCCAGUGGAGCCCAGGAUGUGGCUCUGAAGGUGAUGGAUGGAGCGGGCUCCUCAGCUCAGCCAGCUUUCAGAUUCAGACACCCACUGCUCCUGGACUUUGGGUGAUCAAAUUCUCACAAUAGCAUCUGAACAUUUUUUGUUAUUCUGGUACGGACUUAACAUCUUUUAAAUGCAGCU